GAUGAACGCUAGCUACAGGCUUAACACAUGCAAGUCGCGGGGCAGCAUGGGGGUUGCUUGCAAUCCCCGAUGGCGACCGGCGCACGGGUGAGUAACGCGUAUCCAACCUGCCCUUCACCACGGGAUAACCCGGCGAAAGUCGGACUAAUACCGUAUGUUGUCCAUUGACGGCAUCCGAUUUGGACGAAAGGUUUGGCGGUGAAGGAUGGGGAUGCGUCCGAUUAGCUGGACGGCGGGGUGACGGCCCACCGUGGCGACGAUCGGUAGGGGUUCUGAGAGGAAGGUCCCCAACACUGGAACGGGGACCCGUUCCAGACUCCUACGGGAGGCAGCAGUGGGGAAUAUUGGUAAAGGGGCGUAGCCUGAACCAGCCAAGUAGCGUGCAGGAUGACGGCCCUAUGGGUUGUAAACUGCUUUUAUGCGGGGAUAAAGUGGCCCACGUGUGGGUUUUUGCAGGUACCGCAUGAAUAAGGACCGGCUAAUUCCGUG
This 489-nucleotide ribosomal RNA is filed under the name uncultured bacterium. Its description in RNAcentral is "partial 16S ribosomal RNA". It matches the Rfam family "Bacterial small subunit ribosomal RNA", at positions 28 to 507 of the family's 1533-position model. The record is from RNAcentral.